UAGGGAAUCUUCCACAAUGGACGCAAGUCUGAUGGAGCAACGGCCGCGUGAGUGAAGAAGGUUUUCGGACCGUAAAGCUCUGUUGUUGGUGAAGAAGGAUAGAGGUAGUAACUGGCCUUUAUUUGACGGUAAUCAACCAGAAAGUCACGGCUAACUACGUGCCAGCAGCCGCGGUAAUCGUAGGUGGCAAGCGUUGUCCGGAUUUAUUGGGCGUAAAGCGAGCGCAGGCGGAAGAAUAAGUCUGAUGUGAAAGCCCUCGGCUUAACCGAGGAAUUGCAUCGGAAACUGUUUUCUUGAGUGCAGAAGAGGAGAGUAGAACUCCAUGUGUAGCGGUGGAAUGCGUAGAUAUAUGGAAGAAUACCAGUGGCGAAGGCGGCUCUCUGGUCUGCAACUGACGCUGAGGCUCGAAAGCAUGGGUAGCGAACAGGAUUAGAUACCCUGGUAGUCCAUGCCGUAAACGAUGAGUGCUAAGUGUUGGGAGGCUUCCGCCUCUCAGUGCUGCAGCUAACGCAUUAAGCACUCCGCCUGGGGGAGUACGACCGCAAGGUUGAAACUCAAGUG
RNAcentral lists this ribosomal RNA (561 nucleotides) under uncultured bacterium. Its description in RNAcentral is "partial 16S ribosomal RNA". It matches the Rfam family "Bacterial small subunit ribosomal RNA", at positions 355 to 907 of the family's 1533-position model. The record is from RNAcentral.